Molecule: ribosomal RNA, 454 nt
Filed under: uncultured Thiobacillus sp.
Lineage: Bacteria; Pseudomonadati; Pseudomonadota; Betaproteobacteria; Nitrosomonadales; Thiobacillaceae
Description: bacterial SSU rRNA
Rfam family: Bacterial small subunit ribosomal RNA
Source: RNAcentral
AAGCGGUGGAUGAUGUGGUUUAAUUCGAUGCAACGCGAAAACCUUACCCACCUUUGACAUGUACGGAAUCCUUUAGAGAUAGAGGAGUGCUCGAAAGAGAGCCGUAACACAGGUGCUGCAUGGCUGUCGUCAGCUCGUGUCGUGAGAUGUUGGGUUAAGUCCCGCAACGAGCGCAACCCUUGCCUUUAGUUGCCAUCAUUCAGUUGGGCACUCUAGAGGGACUGCCGGUGUCAAACCGGAGGAAGUGGGGAUGACGUCAAGUCCUCAUGGCCCUUAUGGGUAGGGCUUCACACGUCAUACAAUGGUCGGUACAGAGGGUUGCCAAGCCGCGAGGCGGAGCCAAUCCCACAAAGCCGAUCGUAGUCCGGAUUGUUCUCUGCAACUCGAGAGCAUGAAGUCGGAAUCGCUAGUAAUCGCAGGUCAGCAUACUGCGGUGAAUACGUUCCCGGGUCUU